RNAcentral lists this ribosomal RNA (252 nucleotides) under uncultured bacterium. RNAcentral's name for it is "partial 16S ribosomal RNA". It matches the Rfam family "Bacterial small subunit ribosomal RNA", at positions 104 to 353 of the family's 1533-position model. The record is from RNAcentral.
GGGUGAGUAACGCGUGGGUAACCUGCCUCAUACAGGGGGAUAACAGUUAGAAAUGACUGCUAAUACCGCAUAAGCGCACAGUGCUGCAUGGCACAGUGUGAAAAACUCCCGGUGGUAUGAGAUGGACCCGCGUCUGAUUAGCUAGUUGGUGGGGUAACGGCCUACCAAGGCGACGAUCAGUAGCCGGCCUGAGAGGGUGAACGGCCACAUUGGGACUGAGACACGGCCCAAACUCCUACGGGAGGCAGCAUG